UUGCUUCAGCAGUACAAAUACUAAAAUUGGAAUGAUACAGAAAUUAGCAUGGUCCCUGCGCAAGGAUGACACACAAAUUCGUGAAGCGUUCCAAACUUUU
Molecule: small nuclear RNA, 100 nt
Organism: Vulpes vulpes (red fox)
Lineage: Eukaryota; Metazoa; Chordata; Mammalia; Carnivora; Canidae
Source: Ensembl